This 1590-nucleotide ribosomal RNA is filed under the name Geotrygon violacea (violaceous quail-dove). RNAcentral's name for it is "16S ribosomal RNA". Lineage: Eukaryota; Metazoa; Chordata; Aves; Columbiformes; Columbidae. The record is from RNAcentral.
GGUCCUUUUCUAGGAUUAACGAGGGAGGGUCUCUUGGUGAUUUAGUUGGGUUCAUCACUUAGAGAGGGGGCGUGCAUGAAGUAUUGGCCCCACUUUUCCGAUCCUUUCGUACUGGGAAAAGUUUGUCAUAGAUAGAAACCGACCUGGAUUACUCCGGUCUGAACUCAGAUCACGUAGGACUAUUAAUCGUUGAACAAACGAACCCUUAAUAGCGGCUGCACCAUUAGGAUGUCCUGAUCCAACAUCGAGGUCGUAAACCCCCUUGUCGAUAUGGGCUCUUGGAGGGGAUUGCGCUGUUAUCCCUGGGGUAGCUUGGUCCAUUGGUCAAUUAUAUUGGGUCUGGUUACUGUUAGUACGUUGAGGGGUUGCUCUUAGUUAAGAGGCAGUGGUCUUAUUUUUGGAGGGUUUGUUUUUCUCCAAGGUCGCCCCAACCGAAAAAAUGCAAGCCAAUGUCUUGUUAGUAGUAGUCCUGGUAGGUAAUAUUUUGUUUACGGGGUGGCUGCUGAUUUUAAAAAGUUCCACAGGGUCUUCUCGUCUUAUGUUCACAUCCCUGCUUUUGCACAGGGGGAUCAAUUUCACUGAUUAUCUGUAAGAGACAGUUAAGACCUCGUUUAGCCAUUCAUACAAGUCUCGAUUUAUGGGACAAUUGAUUGCGCUACCUUCGCACGGUUAGGAUACCGCGGCCGUUGAACGUGGGGUCACUGGGCAGGCAUCACCUUCAAUACUUGUUUGGCUGAAGGCUAUGUUUUUGGUAAACAGUCGGGCCUUGGGGGUUUGCCUAGUUCCUUUUACAGAUUUAAAUCUUUCUAAUAAGCGCUCCUGAGUUGGGUUAACAGAGAGUAAAAUACAAAAUCUUGUUGGAGUGAGGGUAUUAAUUAUCUGUUAAUAAUUUAGGGAUGUAAGCUUGCGCUUGAGAGGACUAUGUCCUAGUUACUCAUUUUAGCAUUGAUUCUCCUAUAGUUAUAGGUUAGUCCGCUAGUAGUAAGGGAGUCAUGAGGUUUUAGGAUUUUUAGGUGGUUGGAGCUUUGACGCACUCUUUGUUGAUGGCUGCUAAAAGGCCUACAGUUGUUUGUGAGGGUGGGGAUUAUCCGCUAGAGGGGGUUGUAUUCCUUUUUAAAGGAGCUGUACCUCCUUUAAAUUGCUCUUGACUGCUUUCAUUGGGGUGGUUGAAGGUUCCUAGAGGAGGUGUCAAGGUAGAACUAAAAUUCAUUUCGCGGGCAACCAGCUAUCACCUAGCUCGAUUGGCUUUUCACCUCUACUAGCAAGUCAUCCCACUCUUUUGCAACAGAGACGGGUUCGCUCUAGGUAGCUGCUCGCAAGUAGCUCGCUUAGGUUUCGGGAUAGCAAGCUUAAGUUCACUUUGCUUGGCUGUUCUUGCUAAAUCAUGAUGCAAGAGGUACAAGGGUGUAUCUUUGCUGUUUGUUGCUUGGCUUGUUCAUUAUUAUUUCAUCUUUCCCUUACGGUACGGGUCUCUAUUGCGCCUGAUGGUCUUUUCUAUCGCCUAUACUAGGUUGGAAGAAUGUUUUAGUCUAGGGGUUGAAUAGGUUUUUAAAUUCGCCUGGUUGCAUAGGGUUGGGCUAGAGUUGGGCU